This 68-nucleotide transfer RNA is filed under the name Pseudopedinella elastica. It matches the Rfam family "tRNA". From Rfam's summary of the family: Transfer RNA (tRNA) molecules are approximately 80 nucleotides in length. Their secondary structure includes four short double-helical elements and three loops (D, anti-codon, and T loops). RNAcentral also lists the same sequence under 1 other name. The record is from RNAcentral. Lineage: Eukaryota; Dictyochophyceae; Pedinellales.
GGGAAUAGCUCAGUUGGUAGAGCACAACCUUGCCAAGGUUGGGGUCGCGAGUUCGAAUCUCGUUUCCC